RNAcentral lists this ribosomal RNA (499 nucleotides) under Eupera sp. UGSB 1224. Its description in RNAcentral is "partial 16S large subunit ribosomal RNA". It matches the Rfam family "Bacterial large subunit ribosomal RNA", at positions 1817 to 2597 of the family's 2925-position model. The record is from RNAcentral. Lineage: Eukaryota; Metazoa; Mollusca; Bivalvia; Venerida; Sphaeriidae.
GGCUCUUUGAAUUUUUUAUAAAGAGUCGGACCUGCCCAGUGAGGAUAGUCAAAUUCUAGAUAUAAGUCUAAAAUUCUCUUAAACGGCCGCAGUUGAUAGCUGUGCUAAGGUAGCGUAAUCAUUUGCCCCUUAAUUAGGGGAGGGUAUGAAAGGUUUGACGUGAAAAAAUCUGUCUCUUUUGUAUAAAGAAAAGUUUAUUUUUGAGUGAAAAAGCUUAAAUUUUUUUAAAAGACGAGAAGACCCUGUCGAGCUUGAUAAUACUGUGGAUUAUAUUUACAGUGAUAAGUUUAGUUGGGGAAACUGAGAGUUAAAAGAAAUAUUUUUUUAUUCUGAUGAGGAUCCUGUACUACAGAAAAAAGAAAAAGUUACCGCAGGGAUAACAGCGUUUUCUUUCCUGAGAGGACUAAUUAAAGGAAAAGGUUACGACCUCGAUGUUGGAUUAAAGUUUCUUUUUGGGGCAGGAGUUAAAAUAGUAAGACUGUUCGUCUUUUAAAACUUU